CAGUCGCCACGGGAAUACGGAGGGGGCUAGCGUUGUUCGGAAUUACUGGGCGUAAAGCGCACGUAGGCGGCUUGGUAAGUUAGAGGUGAAAGCCCGGAGCUCAACUCCGGAAUUGCCUUUAAGACUGCCGAGCUAGUAGGUGAGAGAGGUAAGUGGAAUUCCGAGUGUAGAGGUGAAAUUCGUAGAUAUUCGGAAGAACACCAGUGGCGAAGGCGGCUUACUGGCUCAUUCUAGACGCUGAGGUGCGAAAGCGUGGGGAGCAAACAGGAUUAGAGACCCCCGUAUCCCUGUCUCUUAUACC
Molecule: ribosomal RNA, 301 nt
Filed under: uncultured bacterium
Lineage: Bacteria
Description: partial 16S ribosomal RNA
Rfam family: Bacterial small subunit ribosomal RNA
Source: RNAcentral